RNAcentral lists this ribosomal RNA (494 nucleotides) under uncultured bacterium. RNAcentral's name for it is "partial 16S ribosomal RNA". It matches the Rfam family "Bacterial small subunit ribosomal RNA", at positions 28 to 507 of the family's 1533-position model. The record is from RNAcentral.
GACGAACGCUGGCGGCGUGCUUAACACAUGCAAGUCGAACGGUGAAGCGCCUUCCUUUUUGGUGGGUGUGGAUGAGUGGCGAACGGGUGAGUAACACGUGAGUAACCUGCCCCCUUCUUCUGGAUAACCGCAUGAAAGUGUGGCUAAUACGGGAUAUUCUGUGUCUGUCGCAUGAUGGGUCUGGGAAAGAUAUUGUUUCGGUGGGGGAUGGGCUCGCGGCCUAUCAGCUUGUUGGUGGGGUGAUGGCCUACCAAGGCGGUGACGGGUAGCCGGCCUGAGAGGGUGGACGGUCACACUGGGAAUGAGACACGGCGAAGACUCCUACGGGAGGCAGCAGGGGGGAAUAUUGCACAAUGGGCGCAAGCCUGAUGCAGCGACGCCGCGGGAGGGAUGGAGGCCUGCGGGUUGUGAACCUCUUUCGCCAGUGAAGCAGGCCUGCCUCGUUUGUGGGUGGGUUGACGGUAGCUGGAUAAGAAGCGCCGGCUAACUACGUG